CCUACGGGAGGCAGCAGUGGGGAAUCUUGCGCAAUGGGCGAAAGCCUGACGCAGCCAUGCCGCGUGAAUGAUGAAGGUCUUAGGAUUGUAAAAUUCUUUCAGUAGGGACGAUAAUGACGGUACCUACAGAAGAAGCCCCGGCUAACUUCGUGCCAGCAGCCGCGGUAAUACGAAGGGGGCUAGCGUUGCUCGGAAUUACUGGGCGUAAAGGGAGCGUAGGCGGGUUAUCAAGUUGGAGGUGAAAGCCCAGGGCUCAACCUUGGAAUUGCCUUCAAAACUGAUAGCCUAGAGUAUGAUAGAGGUAUGUGGAACUCCGAGUGUAGAGGUGAAAUUCGUAGAUAUUCGGAAGAACACCAGUGGCGAAGGCGACAUACUGGGUCAUGACUGACGCUGAGGCUCGAAAGCGUGGGGAGCAAACAGGAUUAGGAUACCCUGGUAAGUCCAGCUGUAAACGAUGAUUGCUAAGUUGCGAAGGC
Molecule: ribosomal RNA, 476 nt
Filed under: uncultured bacterium
Lineage: Bacteria
Description: bacterial SSU rRNA
Rfam family: Bacterial small subunit ribosomal RNA
Source: RNAcentral